Molecule: long non-coding RNA, 590 nt
Organism: Mastomys coucha (southern multimammate mouse)
Lineage: Eukaryota; Metazoa; Chordata; Mammalia; Rodentia; Muridae
Exons: 2
Source: RefSeq, a predicted model, not a curated record
AAGCAACGGCCUUGGAACCAAUUAACCAUCACCCGCGCGACCUUCCGCUCCGACUCCCAGGAGUGCCCUCCUUCCAGCUCAGUUCUGAUCCUACUCGAGAGAGACUCGGAGAAGGGCGAACUCAUUGCAAAAUCGUGAGGACUCACUACAAUAAAGGACAAACACCCAUCCAGCUAUACGAUACGAGAAGGCAAGAGACCUGGGCCAGCUAUCCAGUCACUCUGCCCUUCAGGUUGCUCCUGAGGAAGAGAGACCAGGCAUCUCUCAUCACCGCGCCACACUGCUAUAGCUUGUUUAACUCUCUGUCCUUAAACUUCGUGAGAGCAGAGUUGGAAGGAUCCUGGGGCAGAACCCACGCUCAGCAUACUCUUCAGUCCUCAGGAGGGCAGGGAUAAACAGACACCUCCAACGCCUGGCAGCAGAGGGCCUGACAGAAGGUCGUCAGCAAAUAAUGAACGGCAGCUCCAUGGAAGUGACUGUUGAGGAGUGGGAUCUAACACACGUGUUUAUUCAAUCAAUGCUUAUGGAUUUCUUUUGUUAGACAGUCUCACCAUAAAGUCCAGGCUGGCUUUCACCUGGAGAUCCUUCUG